This 84-nucleotide transfer RNA is filed under the name Planctomycetota bacterium. RNAcentral describes it as "tRNA-Leu". It matches the Rfam family "tRNA". Rfam says of the family: Transfer RNA (tRNA) molecules are approximately 80 nucleotides in length. Their secondary structure includes four short double-helical elements and three loops (D, anti-codon, and T loops). RNAcentral also lists the same sequence under 1 other name. Lineage: Bacteria; Pseudomonadati; Planctomycetota. The record is from RNAcentral.
GCGGAAGUGGCGGAACGGCAGACGCGCUUGGUUGAGGGCCAAGUGGGGCAACUCGUGGAGGUUCAAAUCCUCUCUUCCGCACCA